UCUCCUUGCAGGUGGUUUUGUCCUUUUGGACCAAUUAUCUAACCUGGGCCUGGACUCCAUCUACCACUGUCCUGCCUGGUUCACUGCAGCUCACUUCAUCUUCCUGUGCCUUCUCUGAAAGGGCCCCUCCAAAAGUUUCCUGGAAACUCUCAAACAACUGAGAAGGUGCCUCGACAUCUGAUUUGCCCCAAACCUCUAUACACUGGACAUCUUCUGAAUAAGGCUGUGUUGUAUGUUGGGACAAGCAAAGGGAUGGAAAUCAAGAAUUCUGGGUUUUAGUCCUGACUGUCACUACAUGGCUGUGUUACUUCUGACUCUGUGAAGCAGAACUCGGGCCUCUAGCGUCUGCUAGUCUAGAUCUAAAGGUGUUUCCUGAGGGACAGUUUGGCCUGGCAUGCAGGUACCUCUGCAGACCACAACAGUGCACCGAAAACACCCCCUCCCAGCACGCACACAAGUCUGGCUCCUCAGCCAAACAUCAAACACCAACACUGCUGCCCAUGCCAGAUGCCAAGUGAGAUAAUGUGUGUUAUACCCUUAGUGUGUUACAAAGAGAAAAGAUUAAUAAAUGUUAGCUAUCCUUAUCUUCAUUAUCU
This 596-nucleotide long non-coding RNA is filed under the name Homo sapiens (human). Its description in RNAcentral is "HSALNT0032255". Lineage: Eukaryota; Metazoa; Chordata; Mammalia; Primates; Hominidae. The record is from RNAcentral.